UUUCCGUAGGUGAACCUGCGGAAGGAUCAUUAUCGAGUUUUUGUUGGUCUUCAACAAAACUUCAUCCUAUGUUUAUAUACUUUGUAUACUUUGGCAAGACGCUUUGACUUGAAGUUGGAGAAUAUUCAGCCACAAGAAAAAGCCACUGACGUCAUUUACUUGACAGUGAGUGUGUUUGCUUGCCAAAGGUUUAACACUUUUAUACUGUUGUCUGAGUACUACAAAAAUAAAUUAAAACUUUCAACAACGGAUCUCUUGGUUCUGGCAUCGAUGAAGAACGCAGC
Molecule: unclassified non-coding RNA, 284 nt
Filed under: uncultured fungus
Lineage: Eukaryota; Fungi
Description: sequence contains ITS1, 5.8S rRNA gene
Rfam family: 5.8S ribosomal RNA (bases 236-284)
Source: RNAcentral